This 460-nucleotide ribosomal RNA is filed under the name uncultured bacterium. RNAcentral's name for it is "partial 16S ribosomal RNA". It matches the Rfam family "Bacterial small subunit ribosomal RNA", at positions 338 to 795 of the family's 1533-position model. The record is from RNAcentral.
CCUAUGGGCGGCAGCAGUGAGGAAUAUUGGUCAAUGGGCGGGAGCCUGAACCAGCCAAGUCGCGUGAAGGAAGAAGGUACUUAGUAUUGUAAACUUCUUUUGUCGGGGAACAAAGGCGGAGACGCGUCUCCGGAUGAGUGUACCCGAAGAAAAAGCAUCGGCUCACUCCGUGCCAGCAGCCGCGGUAAUCCGGAGGAUCCGAGCGUUAUCCGGAUUUAUUGGGUUUAAAGGGAGCGUAGAUGGGUUGUUAAGUCAGUCGGGAAAGUUUGCGGCGCAACCGUAAAAUUGCAAUUGAUAAUGGCAGCCUUGAGUACAGUGGAGGUAGGCGGAAUUCGUGGUGUAGCGGUGAAAUGCUUAGAUAUCACGAAGAACUCCGAUUGCGAAGGCAGCUUACUAAACUGCCACUGACAUUGAUGCUCGAAAGUGUGGGUAUCAAACAGGAUUAGAUACCCCAGUAGUC